RNAcentral lists this ribosomal RNA (1502 nucleotides) under uncultured organism. Its description in RNAcentral is "bacterial SSU rRNA". It matches the Rfam family "Bacterial small subunit ribosomal RNA". The record is from RNAcentral.
GUUGAUCCUGGCUCAGGAUGAACGCUGGCGGCGUGGAUAAGGCAUGCAAGUCGAGCGGUUCCGAUUUAUCGGAGCAGCGGCGAACGAGUUAGUAAUACCUUGGCAAUCUACCCUAAAUCGGGAAAUAAUUCGCCGAAAGGCGGACUAAUGUCCCAUAAUAUCCGAUUUCGUCAGAUUUCGGAUUAAAGGCGCAAGCCGAUUUUGGAGGAGCCUAGGCCCGAUCAGCUUGUUGGUGAGGUAACGGCUCACCAAGGCUAUGACCGGUAGGGGAAGUGAGAGCUUGUUCCCCAACGACGAAACUGAGACACGGUUCGUACACCUACGGGUGGCAGCAGUCGAGAAUAUUCCACAAUGGGCGAAAGCCUGAUGGAGCGACGCCGCGUGCGGGAAGAAGGCCUUCGGGUCGUAAACCGCUUUUUAUUGGGAAAAAGUCGCAAGAUUGAUUGUACCAAUAGAAUAAGGGGUUCCUAACUCUGUGCCAGCAGGAGCGGUAAUACAGAGACCCCGAGCGUUAUCCGGAUUUAUUGGGCGUAAAGCGUGUGUAGGAGGCUAGAUAAGUCUCCGGUUAAAUCUUCCCGCUUAACGGGAAAACCGCCGGGGAUACUAUUUAGCUAGAGGGCGCCAGAGGCAGAUGGAACAGCCGGUGUAGGGGUGAAAUCCGUUGAUAUCGGCUGGAACACCAAAGGCGAAGGCAGUCUGCUGGGACGUUCCUGACUCUGAGACACGAAAGCGUGGGUAGCAAAAAGGAUUAGAUACCCUUGUAGUCCACGCUGUAAACAAUGUUCACUGGCUAUUGGGAGUGUCGACCCUCUCAGUGGCGUAGCUAACGCGUUAAGUGAACCGCCUGGGGAGUACGGCCGCAAGGCUAAAACUCAAAGGAAUAGACGGGGACUCGCACAAGCGGUGGAGCAUGAGGUUUAAUUCGAUGGUACGCGAGGAACCUUACCAGGGCUUGAAAUUCUGGCGUUCUAUUUCCCGGAAACGGGAGAAAUCCGCAAGGAGGCCAGGACAGGUGCUGCACGGUUGUCGUCAGCAUGUGAUUUGAAUUGCUCCCUUAAAUGGGGUAACAUGCGCAACCCUCAUCCUAUGUUAUAUGUGUCAUAGGAGACCGCCCCCGCCCAAAGAUUAGUAGUUAGCCACUAGAAAUUAGCGGUUAGUAAACUAGUAAUUUUCGGGCGGGGGAGGAAGGUGAGGAUGACGUCAAAUCAGCGUGGCCCUUUGAUGCCCUGGGCGGCACUCAUGCCACAAUGGUUGGUACAAUGGGCUGCCAAGGCGCAAGCCGGAGCUAAUCCCAUCAAAGCCAACCCCAGUUCGGAUUGAAGGCUGCAACUCGCCUUCAUGAAGUCGGAAUCGCUAGUAAUCGCGGAUCAGCCAUGCCGCGGUGAAUACGUUCUCGAGUCCUGUACUCACCGCCCGUCACACCAAGGAAGCCGGGAGUAGGUAAAGUCUGACAUUAGUCGGGCCAGCCUAAAUUCGGUAACAUGGGUGAAGUCGUAACAAGG